RNAcentral lists this ribosomal RNA (465 nucleotides) under uncultured bacterium. RNAcentral's name for it is "bacterial SSU rRNA". It matches the Rfam family "Bacterial small subunit ribosomal RNA", at positions 338 to 795 of the family's 1533-position model. The record is from RNAcentral.
CCUACGGGGGGCAGCAGUGGGGAAUAUUGCACAAUGGGCGCAAGCCUGAUGCAGCCAUGCCGCGUGUAUGAAGAAGGCCUUCGGGUUGUAAAGUACUUUCAGCGGGGAGGAAGGGAGUAAAGUUAAUACCUUUGCUCAUUGACGUUACUCGCAGAAGAAGCACCGGCUAACUCCGUGCCAGCAGCCGCGGUAAUACGGAGGGUGCAAGCGUUAAUCGGAAUUACUGGGCGUAAGGCGCACGCAGGCGGUUUGUUAAGUCAGAUGUGAAAUCCCCGGGCUCAACCUGGGAACUGCAUCUGAUACUGGCAAGCUUGAGUCUCGUAGAGGGGGGUAGAAUUCCAGGUGUAGCGGUGAAAUGCGUAGAGAUCUGGAGGAAUACCGGUGGCGAAGGCGGCCCCCUGGACGAAGACUGACGCUCAGGUGCGAAAGCGUGGGGAGCAAACAGGAUUAGAUACCCCAGUAGUC